GAAAGAACGCAGCGAAAUGCGAUACGUAGUGUGAAUUGCAGAAUUCAGUGAAUCAUCGAAUCUUUGAACGCACAUUGCACCUCUCGGUAUUCCGGGAGGUAUGCCUGUUCGAGCGUCAUUUGUACCCUCAAGCUCUGCUUGGUGUUGGGUGUUUGUUCCGCCUCUGUGUGUGAACUCGCCUCAAAACAAUUGGCAGCCGGCGUACUUGUUUCGGAGCGCAGCACAUUUUGCGAUCCAGAUCAACGUACAGCGGCAUCCAAGAAGCCUUAUUUAACGCUCUUGACCUCGGAUCAGGUAGGGAUACCCGCUGAACUUAAGCAUAUCAAUAAGCGGAGGA
Molecule: unclassified non-coding RNA, 337 nt
Filed under: soil metagenome
Description: partial contains 5.8S ribosomal RNA, internal transcribed spacer 2, and large subunit ribosomal RNA
Rfam family: 5.8S ribosomal RNA (bases 3-118)
Source: RNAcentral